Non-coding RNA from Brenneria goodwinii, 87 nucleotides. Lineage: Bacteria; Pseudomonadati; Pseudomonadota; Gammaproteobacteria; Enterobacterales; Pectobacteriaceae. The record is from Rfam.
CUUUAUGGUGACGCAGGCAGGGCAACCGCAAGGUUGACCGGUUUUCUUGAGAGCCGGGGUUCCAAACCUGUCUGUGUCACCACCCAA